Non-coding RNA from Colletotrichum lupini, 81 nucleotides. The record is from the annotation of a RefSeq genome assembly. Lineage: Eukaryota; Fungi; Ascomycota; Sordariomycetes; Glomerellales; Glomerellaceae.
GAAAAGUUUGCCAUUGGUAGGGUAGGAUAUUUGCUCAAUAUUGUGUGAAAACACUUAGGCGUUCGAUUCGUCUCUUUUCCG